AGGCCGAGUAAUGCUGACCGGAGAAGGAGUGCCGAAGGGGGAGCAACACCGACCGGAGGAGGAGCGCCGAACGGGGAGCAACGCCGACUGGAGGAGGAGCGCCAGAAACGUACCGGGAGUCGCCAGAGAGAUUUGGCCGAGUGGGAGCCGCCGGAGAGAUGAGAGAGACGCCGGAAAAGGAAGAACGAAGCUUCAGCCGAGGAGAGGAGAGCCGAGGAGAGGAGCGACGACGAGCACG
This 238-nucleotide long non-coding RNA is filed under the name Eucalyptus grandis. RNAcentral's name for it is "long non-coding RNA (EGRA_LNC001158)". Lineage: Eukaryota; Viridiplantae; Streptophyta; Magnoliopsida; Myrtales; Myrtaceae. The record is from RNAcentral.